UGGGGAAUCUUGGACAAUGGGCGAAAGCCUGAUCCAGCCAUGCCGCGUGUGUGAAGAAGGUCUUCGGAUUGUAAAGCACUUUAAGUUGGGAGGAAGGGCCAUUACCUAAUACGUGAUGGUUUUGACGUUACCGACAGAAUAAGCACCGGCUAACUCUGUGCCAGCAGCCGCGGUAAUACAGAGGGUGCAAGCGUUAAUCGGAAUUACUGGGCGUAAAGCGCGCGUAGGUGGUUUGUUAAGUUGGAUGUGAAAUCCCCGGGCUCAACCUGGGAACUGCAUUCAAAACUGACUGACUAGAGUAUGGUAGAGGGUGGUGGAAUUUCCUGUGUAGCGGUGAAAUGCGUAGAUAUAGGAAGGAACACCAGUGGCGAAGGCGACCACCUGGACUGAUACUGACACUGAGGUGCGAAAGCGUGGGGAGCAAACAGGAUUAGAUACCCAUGUAGUCCCUGAGCGGGCUGGCAAGGCGCAU
Molecule: ribosomal RNA, 472 nt
Filed under: uncultured bacterium
Lineage: Bacteria
Description: bacterial SSU rRNA
Rfam family: Bacterial small subunit ribosomal RNA
Source: RNAcentral